CUCACUGGAAGGUAGACCUCUUUCAAACGAAGCCUAAACCCAAGACAAUUUCCAGCCACAGCCCUCAAUGACAUCCCCGUGACAGAGUGGAUCCCGUCCCAGAAGCACGCUGGCUCUGGGAUGAGGCAGCCGACGAACUCGACGGGAGCCUACCUUGCACAGAAGGAUUCACAGAAACGGGAGCCUACCUUGCACAGACGGGCUCACGGCCUCCGAAGCCCGGAGAAGUGCUGGUCCGGGGGUCACGGAGCGCGGGAUGCCCGCGGCUGGUCCGGGNNNNNNNNNNGGCUGGUCCGGGGGUCACGGAGCGCGGGAUGCCCGCGGCUGGUCCGGCGGGCACAGGGAGCAGGGUCCCGCUCGCUCGGGCUCUCACAGGUGCCAGCGCGCGUCUCCUCGGCUCUCAGAGUUUGUCAUGAAUGUCCCCAGCUGGGUCCCAGCGAUCCCGAACACCUCGGAGCCGGCAGCCCACGGCCCCGUGGUCCGCUCCCAACUUCUCCUUGCCUCACUCUCUGGGAAGUUCGGCAGAGCCGCGGCGCCGAGCGGGCUCCGCUCUCUGCGAAAACUCGCCUGCCCCACCUAGAGGAGCCCCGCAGGAUGAGGAGGAGUCCCGCGGCCGUGCCCGCCACCGCCGAGCUCGGAUUUGGCUGGCGAACAGAAGAGCAUCUAGGCUGUGCCAAGAGAAAAAUCACAAUGCAAUAUGGGUGCCCAAGGUCCUGCCUCUGAGUGAACUUCUCACAGUUUGGUUUAAGUCCACAUCCUUUCAGAGCUGACAUCUGGCCCAGAGAAGCUGCUCUGCAAAGACACUGUGUGAAUAAGAGAAACUCAUAUUUUGAUGACCCAGCCACAGUAGAAAAGUAAACGUGAAAGAAGAAGAGCUACCUUUGUCAAAGAGCCACCAAACUGACUGUGUGUUUUUUAAGCUGCCACAUUGAUUCCUGGCAUCAGGAUGAAAGGACUAACUACCCCUUGCAGCCCUUAAGACAACCAUAUGUCACCCACCCUCUCUGACAUGAGAAAUUCCUGCACUGAGCACCCAGUUGGAAUGAGGGGACAUGUAGGCAUCAGUGACAAAAUAUGUAUAUACAGCCAGUAGGAAGGAAAGGAAGAAUGAGCCGUGGUGAACCUAUAAACUCUGGACUUGUGAGCUUCUCACUGCUUACGUUUUCAAUCAGAAUGGAGGUCUACAUGGCACAUGAAUAUCUGUUGUCACAUAAUCAUCCUUCCACCCUACCUUUGGUCCCACCAGAGGCAGCCCAAGGGCACAGCAUGUCACUGCAAUAUUUUUUAAGUUUGUCCAAAGGGCCUGUGUCUUCCCUCAAGUCAUGGGAGAGGUAGAAUGACCUGACAAGUGCCUGUACUACAUGCCUAAAACAGACAGUGGGUUUGCCUGGCAUGUAUCUGUUCUUGCUGCUGCUAAGUAAAGCUGAUGGAGC
Molecule: long non-coding RNA, 1433 nt
Filed under: Chloebia gouldiae (Gouldian finch)
Lineage: Eukaryota; Metazoa; Chordata; Aves; Passeriformes; Passeridae
Description: Erythrura gouldiae (Gouldian finch) lncRNA (ENSEGOG00005007774.1)
Source: RNAcentral